This 141-nucleotide ribosomal RNA is filed under the name Salmonella enterica subsp. enterica serovar Tennessee. RNAcentral's name for it is "partial 16S ribosomal RNA". It matches the Rfam family "Bacterial small subunit ribosomal RNA", at positions 1131 to 1271 of the family's 1533-position model. The record is from RNAcentral. Lineage: Bacteria; Pseudomonadati; Pseudomonadota; Gammaproteobacteria; Enterobacterales; Enterobacteriaceae.
UCGGGAACUCAAAGGAGACUGCCAGUGAUAAACUGGAGGAAGGUGGGGAUGACGUCAAGUCAUCAUGGCCCUUACGACCAGGGCUACACACGUGCUACAAUGGCGCAUACAAAGAGAAGCGACCUCGCGAGAGCAAGCGGA